This 433-nucleotide ribosomal RNA is filed under the name uncultured bacterium. Its description in RNAcentral is "partial 16S ribosomal RNA". It matches the Rfam family "Bacterial small subunit ribosomal RNA", at positions 29 to 507 of the family's 1533-position model. The record is from RNAcentral.
AACGAACGCUGGCGGCAUGCCUAACACAUGCAAGUCGAACGAGACCUUCGGGUCUAGUGGCGCACGGGUGCGUAACGCGUGGGAACCUGCCCUUAGGUUCGGAAUAACUCCCCGAAAGGGGUGCUAAUACCGGAUAAUGUCUUCGGACCAAAGAUUUAUCGCCUUUGGAUGGGCCCGCGUUGGAUUAGCUAGUUGGUAGGGUAAAAGCCUACCAAGGCGACGAUCCAUAGCUGGUCUGAGAGGAUGAUCAGCCACACUGGGACUGAGACACGGCCCAGACUCCGACGGGAGGCAGCAGUGGGGAAUAUUGGACAAUGGGCGAAAGCCUGAUCCAGCCAUGCCGCGUGAGUGAUGAAGGCCUUAGGGUUGUAAAGCUCUUUUACCCGGGAUGAUACUGACAGUACCGGGAGAAUAAGCUCCGGCUAACUCCGUG